CACGUAUUCUUGGCACAAUCCGAUACGAAAACAGCAAUCUGGGUCCACCGUCAACCGCGACAGCACCCGACAGUCCGAAACAGUCUACACACUACUGUAAAAUAAGCUCGACAUCCUAGCACGAGUAUAAACUCAUCCUACACUAAUCUGGGUAUCCACCGCAUACAAAUAGCGGUGAUACAGACGAAUCACAGCUCCUAAAGCUAAUUCUGGUAAUUUUCAGAAAAUGACAGUGUAGGAUUUAUAUGUUUU
Molecule: long non-coding RNA, 252 nt
Filed under: Ananas comosus (pineapple)
Lineage: Eukaryota; Viridiplantae; Streptophyta; Magnoliopsida; Poales; Bromeliaceae
Description: long non-coding RNA (ACOM_LNC016386)
Source: RNAcentral